CAUUACAGAGUUUCGUACUCCAAACCCUUUGUGAACAUACCUGUUUUCGUUGCUUCGGCAGGUGAAGGCGGACGGCCUCCGGGCCUCCCCCGCCGCCGCCGGGUCCGGGAAACCGGCCGGGUGGGCCUGCCGGAGGGCACAGACUCUUGUAUUAAACGUACCUCUCUGAGUUAUCUUUUACAAACAAGUAAAAACUUUCAACAACGGAUCUCUUGGUUCUGGCAUCGAUGAAGAACGCAGCGAAAUGCGAUAAGUAAUGUGAAUUGCAGAAUUCAGUGAAUCAUCGAAUCUUUGAACGCACAUUGCGCCCGCCAGUAUUCUGGCGGGCAUGCCUGUCCGAGCGUCAUUUCAACCCUCAGGCCCUGGUUGCCUGGUGUUGGGGCGCCGCGCACCCCUAGCGGGCGCGGGCCCCGAAAGUCAGUGGCGGGCUCGCCAGGACUCCGAGCGCAGUAAUAUUGCCUCGCUGCGGAGCGCCUGGUGGGUUACCCAGCCGUAAAACACCCCAAAUUCUAAAGGUUGACCUCGGAUCAGG
RNAcentral lists this ribosomal RNA (532 nucleotides) under fungal endophyte. RNAcentral describes it as "eukaryotic LSU rRNA". The stretch from base 193 to 346 matches the Rfam family "5.8S ribosomal RNA". The record is from RNAcentral. Lineage: Eukaryota; Fungi.